UUGGGAGCUUGCUCCCAUGAGAGUGGCGCACGGGUGAGUAACGCGUAUGCAACCUACCUUUAACAGAGGGAUCGCCCAUAGAAAUGUGGAUUAAUACCUCAUAGUUCUGAGAGACCGCAUGGUUUUUCAGAUAAAGCUCCGGCGGUUAAAGAUGGGCAUGCGUGACAUUAGUUAGUUGGUGAGGUAACGGCUCACCAAGACUACGAUGUCUAGGGGUUCUGAGAGGAUGAUCCCCCACACUGGUACUGAGACACGGACCAGACUCCUACGGGAGGCAGCAGUGAGGAAUAUUGGUCAAUGGGCGCAAGCCUGAACCAGCCAUCCCGCGUGAAGGAUGAAGGCCCUAUGGGUCGUAAACUUCUUUUAUACACCAAGAAAAAGCAGGACGUGUCCUGCCCCGACGGUAGUGUAUGAAUAAGCAUCGGCUAACUCCGUGCCAGCAGCCGCGGUAAUACGGAGGAUGCAAGCGUUAUCCGGAUUCAUUGGGUUUAAAGGGUGCGUAGGCGGCUUUUUAAGUCAGUGGUGAAAUCCUGUCGCUUAACGAUAGAAUUGCCAUUGAUACUGAAGAGCUUGAGUACAAUUGAGGUAAGCGGAAUGUGUAGUGUAGCGGUGAAAUGCUUAGAUAUUACACAGAACACCGAUUGCGAAGGCAGCUUACUAAACUGUUACUGACGCUGAUGCACGAAAGCGUGGGGAGCGAACAGGAUUAGAUACCCUGGUAGUCCACGCCGUAAACGAUGAUCACUCGCUGUAUGCGAUACACAGUAUGCGGCCAAG
Molecule: ribosomal RNA, 777 nt
Filed under: uncultured bacterium
Lineage: Bacteria
Description: bacterial SSU rRNA
Rfam family: Bacterial small subunit ribosomal RNA
Source: RNAcentral